UCAAUCCAUUCUGGCUUGUUAAGUCUCACAUUGAGAAGUCCACUGCUACUCUGAUAAGGUUUCUCUUAUAGGCAACUAGACAUCAGAUUUUUUCCUACAUGUUGACUUUAUACAGUUUGAUGACUAUAUUUCUUGGUGAACUAUGUCUUGCAAUGCACUUUUCUGGUAUUUGCUGGGCCUCUUAUAUUUGAAUGUGUAAAUCUUUUGCAAGACUAGGGAAAUUUUAACGUAGUAUUUCCUUAAAUAGGUUUUCCAGUCUUGUUACUUUUUCUUCUCUUUUGGAAAUACCAAGGAUUCAUAAGUGUAAUCAUUACUAUGUAGUACAUAUUGAAGUCUUUGUUCAUUUUUUUCUUUUUUUCUGACUCUAUUAAUUUAAAAGAUUUGUUUCAAGCAGUGAGAUUCUCUGCUUUGCUUGCUCUAGUCUCUUGUUGAAGCUUUCAACUGUCUUGUUUAAUUCCUUCAAUAAUUUUUUAUUUUCUAGCAGUUCUGGCUUUUUUAGAAAUAAUGAUAUCCAUCUCGUUGGUACACUUGUCAUUCAUAUUCAAAAUUAAUUUGUUGAUUCAUCAGUACUGGUUUUCAGAUUUGUCUUUUUAUUUCCAUGAGAUUCUUUACAAUCAAUAAUUUAAAUUGGUAUUUUGAUUAUUUCUUUUUGGUUAGGAUCUAUUACCGGAGAAUUACUGUUUCUUUGGGGAUGCCAUAACCCUUUGCUAUUAAAUACUUCAGCAUUAUUACACUGAUUUCUUUACAUAUGAGAAAACAGUUGCUUCUUCUUGCUUUUGAAUUUACUUUCUUUGGGGGGAAAUUUUUUUUUUUCUCUUCAGGAUGUGACUAUGAUGUUAUGUAGGGCUGUUUCUCUUUGCUUCUGGGUAUGUUCAGUAGCAAAGACUCUGUACAAUAUUAGUUAAAAAUAGCUUUAAUGUGGUGGCUUUAUAAAAUGGCAGUUGUAGUAGCUGUGUACUGGGUGGAUGAAGAAGCCACUUCAGAAUACUGAGAAGCCAGGGUGGCAUGGGUGAUGGUGGAUGCAGAGGUCACAUGAAGCCUGUCUCCUUCCUGAGUGCUGUGCAUCUUUUUCAGCAGAUUUGCCUUGUGUUUUGGAGGCUGACCUGGUCAGUAGGUGGUACAUGCCAGUUAGAGCAGGCUGCCAUGAUAGCAGUAGGGUUUAUAUGUGAUCUUUGUUAACAUCUGUAGAAGCGCUUUCAGUGUCCCAGGUGGUGGGUUGGGCCCUGGAGUGCUCAAGGGCUUGAGUCACCUUCUCUCUAGGAUGGGGUGGUAAAGCUGAGUAAAGCCAGAUUGGGGAACCCUGCACUCAGGCCCCCCAUGGCAGAUGUACACACCAGCCCUGAGAGGGGUGGUGGGGGAGUCCUCAGGCCCCUGGUGAAAUCUGCUGAGGUCUCCGCUUGGGGAGUGAAGGGCGGUACCAGCACCAUGGCUUUGACAGGCAGGAAUGAGAUCUGCUACCUUUACUCGCCUUUGUCUGACAUUCAGAAUAUUCGGUUAGGUUAGACAAUGCUGUUUCCUUUUAGGCUGCAAUGCUGUUUACUUAUAGGAUGAAACUGUAUCAGACUUUGUAGUGGCUGUGCAUGUUGAUAUCCUGGCCAGUAGGCAGUGCGUGCAGGUGAGAGCCAGCUGCAGUGGUGGUGUUACAGUUAAGGCUUGACCUUUGUUAACUUGGUGAUGUACUUGGGUUUCCCAGGCAAUGGGUUGGGCCACGGAAUUCUCAGCGGUCUCAGUCCUGUACUUUGCUUCCAAGGUGGGAAAUAGGGGGGAAAGCUGGUGGUGUUGGGUAGAGGAGAAAGCAGGGUGGGGCUGAGAUGGGCAGGUCUAUACCUGGUCCUCCUAAUGGCCAGUACAAGUGCCAGCCCUGAUGGGGGUUGGAGGACAGUUCUCAGGCCACUGGAGCAAUAGUUCAGGGAGAAGUGGAGCAACUCUUUCUGUUCCAACUAACCAGCAUGGGGAAAGUGGGGUGGCUCGGGUUCCAUAGCCUAGCAGGUGGUAGUGAGACCUGCCUUGCUCUCAUGCUCUCAACCUAGCGGGAUACCAUCCUACGGCCUGCCACUGGCAUCGAGCUGAGGCAGCCAGCCAAAUCACAAGCAGUUUGUCUUUGGACUGCAAUAUAACCCCAGGCCAUAAAACUGUGGCUCCCAGGUGAAACCCCUCCCAGCCCAAUUCCAGGAUGGGGAGGUUCCCGAAUCCCAUAACCUUGGCUGGAGCCAAUGCCACACUUGCUUAUCAGUUCUGGCCUCGUUCCUGGGACUGUGCAUAGUCUGCUAAAAGCAGAUGAGAAUUUCACAAAAUGCCACGUUAUCACAAAUUUCUGAAGAGGCUGACAGGUUAUUAAUCAGGAUAAACCACAUUGAAUAAAGUAUUCCUGUUAAGAACUCUCUGUAUCCCUUCCUUUUGAACACUGCUCCAGCCUCUUGGGACUCCAGGACAUCUUCUACAUAAUCUCAUGUCUUUUAGACACGUCAGCUCACUACGAAAGAAUUACUAAGUGAAACUGACCACGUUUCUUGUUCCCUUCCUCCCCCUCCUUCAUUUUAAAAUUGUGAAUAUAUGGUGAUGAAGACCACAAUGAA
RNAcentral lists this long non-coding RNA (2576 nucleotides) under Homo sapiens (human). RNAcentral describes it as "HSALNT0385641". Lineage: Eukaryota; Metazoa; Chordata; Mammalia; Primates; Hominidae. The record is from RNAcentral.